RNAcentral lists this long non-coding RNA (200 nucleotides) under Actinidia chinensis (golden kiwifruit). Its description in RNAcentral is "long non-coding RNA (ACHI_LNC002236)". Lineage: Eukaryota; Viridiplantae; Streptophyta; Magnoliopsida; Ericales; Actinidiaceae. The record is from RNAcentral.
GAAGAUCUCAAGAAUGAAGAACUUUCAUUAGGGUAUUUUUGUAAAACUCUUGUAUGGUUAAAUUCUUGAGCCUCUAAAAUGACCUUAAUAUCCUUCAUGCAUUUUAAGAAUACAAAAAUGUAUUAAAAUUUAAAGUUCUUAAAAAUGUGCUAGCAAUAAUUCUUAUCUUUGAAAAUUUAAUUACAAUUUUAAAAAAUGGG